Molecule: unclassified non-coding RNA, 383 nt
Filed under: uncultured Pseudomonadota bacterium
Lineage: Bacteria; Pseudomonadati; Pseudomonadota
Description: uncultured proteobacterium contains 16S-23S intergenic spacer region
Source: RNAcentral
UCCGAGUUGUCCCCGGCAGUCUCCUUAGAGUCCCCGCCAUUACGCGCUGGCAACUAAGGACAGGGGUUGCGCUCGUUGCGGCACUUAAGCCAACACCUCACGGCACGAGCUGACGACUGCCAUGCAGCACCUGUCACUGGUCCAGCCGAACUGAAGGGGUGAGUCUCCUCUCCCCGCGACCAGGAUGUCAAAGGCUGGUAAGGUUCUGCGCGUUGCUUCGAAUUAAACCACAUGCUCCACCGCUUGUGCAGGCCCCCGUCAAUUUCUUUGAGUUUCAGUCUUGCGACCGUACUCCCCAGGCGGCGAACUUAACGCGUUAGCUUCGAUACUGGGCACCAAGUUGUGCCCAACAUCCAGUUCGCAUCGUUUAGGGCGUGGACUAC